CUUGGUCAUUUAGAGGAAGUAAAAGUCGUAACAAGGUUUUCCUCCAGUUAAAGCUAUUAACUUAUUGAAGCCUGACGUGGGCGACUAUAAAUUAACCAUGAAGUUCGGUCUUUAACAGACUGGACAACACCGCUGAAAUGCGUGAUCAACUAUUGUUGUACCAGCAGCCCUCUUAUAGGGCCCACAGAUCAGCCGCGGUGAUCCUACCUAGAGUAUUUAAGUAGGACUAUAAUAUGACCGUCUCACCUGAGAUGGUUGAGAGAACACGUUCCGUAGGUGAACCUGCGGAGGAUCAUUACCGAGUUAGGGUCUUAUAGGCCCGACCUCCAACCCUUUGUUACUACACCAUGUUGCUUUGGCGGGCCCGCCUUUUGGGGCCGCCGGGGUUUACAAGCCCCUGGUCAGUGUCCGCCAGUAGCCUUAUUAAAUUCUUUUUAAUUAUGUUGUCUGAGUAUAAAUAUAAAUCGUUAAAACUUUCAACAACGAUCUCUUGGUUCUGGCAUCGAUGAAGAACGCAGCGAAAUGCGAUAAGUAUGCGAAUUGCAGAAUUCAGUGAGUCAUCGAAUCUUUGAACGCAUAUUGGCCCUUUGGUAUUCCGAAGGGCAUGCCUGUUCGAGCGUCAUUAUCAACCUCAAGCCUGGCUUGUCGUUGGACCCUUUUUACCGCUGAAAUAUGUGGUAGUCCGAAAGAUAAUGACGGCGUCGUGUUUGACCCUAGAUGCAACGAGCUUUUAUAGCACGCAUUGAAGUGGUCGGCCGACCCGGUCUUUAACCAUCAUUUCUAAGGUUGACCUCGGAUCAGGUAGGAAUACCCGCUGAACUUAAGCAAUCAAUAAGCGGAGGA
RNAcentral lists this ribosomal RNA (843 nucleotides) under uncultured fungus. RNAcentral describes it as "eukaryotic LSU rRNA". The stretch from base 472 to 622 matches the Rfam family "5.8S ribosomal RNA". The record is from RNAcentral. Lineage: Eukaryota; Fungi.